Molecule: ribosomal RNA, 2901 nt
Filed under: Salmonella enterica subsp. enterica serovar Give
Lineage: Bacteria; Pseudomonadati; Pseudomonadota; Gammaproteobacteria; Enterobacterales; Enterobacteriaceae
Description: bacterial LSU rRNA
Rfam family: Bacterial large subunit ribosomal RNA
Source: RNAcentral
UUAAGCGACUAAGCGUACACGGUGGAUGCCCUGGCAGUCAGAGGCGAUGAAGGACGUGCUAAUCUGCGAUAAGCGCCGGUAAGGUGAUAUGAACCGUUAUAACCGGCGAUUUCCGAAUGGGGAAACCCAGUGUGACUCGUCACACUAUCAUUAACUGAAUCCAUAGGUUAAUGAGGCGAACCGGGGGAACUGAAACAUCUAAGUACCCCGAGGAAAAGAAAUCAACCGAGAUUCCCCCAGUAGCGGCGAGCGAACGGGGAGGAGCCCAGAGCCUGAAUCAGCAUGUGUGUUAGUGGAAGCGUCUGGAAAGGCGCGCGAUACAGGGUGACAGCCCCGUACACAAAAGCGCAUGUGCUGUGAGCUCGAUGAGUAGGGCGGGACACGUGGUAUCCUGUCUGAAUAUGGGGGGACCAUCCUCCAAGGCUAAAUACUCCUGACUGACCGAUAGUGAACCAGUACCGUGAGGGAAAGGCGAAAAGAACCCCGGCGAGGGGAGUGAAAAAGAACCUGAAACCGUGUACGUACAAGCAGUGGGAGCACCCUUUUGGGUGUGACUGCGUACCUUUUGUAUAAUGGGUCAGCGACUUAUAUUCUGUAGCAAGGUUAACCGAAUAGGGGAGCCGGAGGGAAACCGAGUCUUAACCGGGCGUUAAGUUGCAGGGUAUAGACCCGAAACCCGGUGAUCUAGCCAUGGGCAGGUUGAAGGUUGGGUAACACUAACUGGAGGACCGAACCGACUAAUGUUGAAAAAUUAGCGGAUGACCUGUGGCUGGGGGUGAAAGGCCAAUCAAACCGGGAGAUAGCUGGUUCUCCCCGAAAGCUAUUUAGGUAGCGCCUCGUGAAUUCAUCUCCGGGGGUAGAGCACUGUUUCGGCUAGGGGGCCAUCCCGGCUUACCAACCCGAUGCAAACUGCGAAUACCGGAGAAUGUUAUCACGGGAGACACACGGCGGGUGCUAACGUCCGUCGUGAAGAGGGAAACAACCCAGACCGCCAGCUAAGGUCCCAAAGUCAUGGUUAAGUGGGAAACGAUGUGGGAAGGCCCAGACAGCCAGGAUGUUGGCUUAGAAGCAGCCAUCAUUUAAAGAAAGCGUAAUAGCUCACUGGUCGAGUCGGCCUGCGCGGAAGAUGUAACGGGGCUAAACCAUGCACCGAAGCUGCGGCAGCGACACUAUGUGUUGUUGGGUAGGGGAGCGUUCUGUAAGCCUGUGAAGGUGGCCUGUGAGGGUUGCUGGAGGUAUCAGAAGUGCGAAUGCUGACAUAAGUAACGAUAAAGCGGGUGAAAAGCCCGCUCGCCGGAAGACCAAGGGUUCCUGUCCAACGUUAAUCGGGGCAGGGUGAGUCGACCCCUAAGGCGAGGCCGAAAGGCGUAGUCGAUGGGAAACGGGUUAAUAUUCCCGUACUUGGUGUUACUGCGAAGGGGGGACGGAGAAGGCUAUGUUGGCCGGGCGACGGUUGUCCCGGUUUAAGCGUGUAGGCUGGUUUUCCAGGCAAAUCCGGAAAAUCAAGGCUGAGGCGUGACGACGAGGCACUACGGUGCUGAAGCAACAAAUGCCCUGCUUCCAGGAAAAGCCUCUAAGCAUCAGGUAACAUCAAAUCGUACCCCAAACCGACACAGGUGGUCAGGUAGAGAAUACCAAGGCGCUUGAGAGAACUCGGGUGAAGGAACUAGGCAAAAUGGUGCCGUAACUUCGGGAGAAGGCACGCUGACAUGUAGGUGAAGUGAUUUACUCAUGGAGCUGAAGUCAGUCGAAGAUACCAGCUGGCUGCAACUGUUUAUUAAAAACACAGCACUGUGCAAACACGAAAGUGGACGUAUACGGUGUGACGCCUGCCCGGUGCCGGAAGGUUAAUUGAUGGGGUCAGCGCAAGCGAAGCUCCUGAUCGAAGCCCCGGUAAACGGCGGCCGUAACUAUAACGGUCCUAAGGUAGCGAAAUUCCUUGUCGGGUAAGUUCCGACCUGCACGAAUGGCGUAAUGAUGGCCAGGCUGUCUCCACCCGAGACUCAGUGAAAUUGAACUCGCUGUGAAGAUGCAGUGUACCCGCGGCAAGACGGAAAGACCCCGUGAACCUUUACUAUAGCUUGACACUGAACAUUGAGCCUUGAUGUGUAGGAUAGGUGGGAGGCUUUGAAGUGUGGACGCCAGUCUGCAUGGAGCCGACCUUGAAAUACCACCCUUUAAUGUUUGAUGUUCUAACGUGGACCCGUGAUCCGGGUUGCGGACAGUGUCUGGUGGGUAGUUUGACUGGGGCGGUCUCCUCCUAAAGAGUAACGGAGGAGCACGAAGGUUGGCUAAUCCUGGUCGGACAUCAGGAGGUUAGUGCAAUGGCAUAAGCCAGCUUGACUGCGAGCGUGACGGCGCGAGCAGGUGCGAAAGCAGGUCAUAGUGAUCCGGUGGUUCUGAAUGGAAGGGCCAUCGCUCAACGGAUAAAAGGUACUCCGGGGAUAACAGGCUGAUACCGCCCAAGAGUUCAUAUCGACGGCGGUGUUUGGCACCUCGAUGUCGGCUCAUCACAUCCUGGGGCUGAAGUAGGUCCCAAGGGUAUGGCUGUUCGCCAUUUAAAGUGGUACGCGAGCUGGGUUUAGAACGUCGUGAGACAGUUCGGUCCCUAUCUGCCGUGGGCGCUGGAGAACUGAGGGGGGCUGCUCCUAGUACGAGAGGACCGGAGUGGACGCAUCACUGGUGUUCGGGUUGUCAUGCCAAUGGCACUGCCCGGUAGCUAAAUGCGGAAGAGAUAAGUGCUGAAAGCAUCUAAGCACGAAACUUGCCCCGAGAUGAGUUCUCCCUGAGACUUAAAGUCUCCUGAAGGAACGUUGAAGACGACGACGUUGAUAGGCCGGGUGUGUAAGCGCAGCGAUGCGUUGAGCUAACCGGUACUAAUGAACCGUGAGGCUUAACCUU